AGAGUUUGAUCCUGGCUCAGAUUGAACGCUGGCGGUAUGCUUAACACAUGCAAGUCGAACGGAAACGAUACUAGCUUGCUAGUAGGCGUCGAGUGGCGGACGGGUGAGUAACGCGUAGGAAUCUGCCUGAUAGUGGGGGAUAGCCCGGAGAAAUUCGGAUUAAUACCGCAUAAUCUACACGUAGUAAAGGAGGCCUCUAUUUAUAAGCUUUCGCUAUCAGAUGAGCCUGCGUAAGAUUAGCUUGUUGGUGAGGUAAAAGCUCACCAAGGCGACGAUCUUUAGCUGGUCUGAGAGGAUGAUCAGCCACACUGGGACUGAGACACGGCCCAGACUCCUACGGGAGGCAGCAGUGGGGAAUAUUGGACAAUGGGGGCAACCCUGAUCCAGCAAUACCGCGUGUGUGAAGAAGGCCUGAGGGUUGUAAAGCACUUUCAAUUGUGAAGAAAAGCUAAAGGUUAAUAACCC
RNAcentral lists this ribosomal RNA (465 nucleotides) under uncultured marine bacterium. Its description in RNAcentral is "bacterial SSU rRNA". It matches the Rfam family "Bacterial small subunit ribosomal RNA", at positions 8 to 469 of the family's 1533-position model. The record is from RNAcentral.